UGAGCAUGCGCAGAGUGGCAUUUGUUCUCGUCGAUGGCAUUGGCGAUGUCUCGAUUCCAGAGCUCGGAUGGAAGACGCCGCUGGAGGCCGCGAGCACGCCGAAUCUGGAUGCCAUCGCGACCGCUGGAAUCAGCGGCUUGAUGGAUCCCGUGGAGCCAGGGCUUGCAUGCGGCAGCGAUACCGCUCACCUUUCUCUGCUAGGGUAUGAUCCCAGGCAGUAUUAUCGCGGCCGCGGCGCCUUCGAAUCGCUGGGCGCCGGUCUUGCCAUGUCUCCUGGCGAUAUUGCGUUCAAGAGCAACUUCGCGACCAUGGACGAUGGAACUGGAGUUGUGACUUGCAGAAGAGCCGAUCGCCAUUUCGAAGAAGACGGACCUAUUUUCUGUGCUGCUUUGGAUGGCUUGAAGCUUCCUUCCUUUCCAGCUUACGAAGUUCGUGUCAGGUAUGCCACGGAACAUAGGUGUGGAGUGGUCGUGAAAGGACCAGGACUGAGCGGAAACAUUUCUGGUACUGAUCCACUCAAAGACAACAGACUUUUAGAGGUUGUCGUCCCGCUGGAUGAAUCCGACGAAGCGAAACACACCGCCGCCGUGGUGAACGAGCUCUCGCUCGAACUGAGACGUAUCUUAUCGGAUCAUCCACUCAACGCGAAGCGACAGUCUGCUGGUAAGGCCAUUGCGAAUGUCGUGCUAUUAAGAGGAUGUGGAAUACGCAUUCAGGUCCCAAGCUUUAAUGAGAAACAUGGGCUUCGAUCCUGUAUGGUAGCUCCAACAAAAAUCAUCGCUGGACUUGGUCUCUCACUCGACAUUGCCAUUUUGGAUGCACCAGGAGCUACUGGCGAUUACAGAACACUUCUGACGUCGAAAGCAAACGCUAUUGCAAAAGCAUUGGCUGCUCCUCUGGAGCGUCCGCCCAAUGUAUUCGUUCCUGGUGAAGAUGAUGCUAAGCCUGGCUGGAGCGAAGGCUAUGACUUCGGCUUUUUGCAUAUAAAGGCGAUUGAUGACGCUGGCCACGACAAGGCUGUCAAGCUGAAAAAGCUGGCAUUUGAGGCGGUUGACAAAAUGAUUGGGCAAUUAGCACGGAUGCUAUGGGAAGCUGAAUGUAGAGGCGCAGGACAAUUCUCGUUAUGUGUCACAGGUGAUCAUUCUACACCAGUUGAGUAUGGAGACCACAGCUUUGAGCCGGUUCCGUUUACCAUCUGUCAUCUCAAGGACUUUGUCAAGACCAAGGGUGAAGAUACCGUGCUAUCUUCGCCGUUGGAAGCCUUCCGACUGCCGGGUACUACUGAAGAUUCAUCAUGGACAUAUGAGACGCACGGUCCAAAGCCUUGUGAUGUCCAUGGUGACGGAGUGACGAGCUUUUCCGAGCUUUCGGCUGCUCGAGGUGUUCUUGGUCGUUUCCCGGGCAGCGAGAUGAUGGGCAUCAUCAAAAAGUACAUGCAGCUAGACACAUGCUGAAUUGAAAAACGCAAGCAUCUUUUCUAAUAAGUUGAAGGCUUCUGCUGUUGAUAGUUGAAGGCACUGCUGGAGGCGAGACAUUUUGCCAUAAGUUUGUGUUACGAACAUUCGGGGAAUGGGAUCGGGUAUCGUUGUCUAUCAUUACAAUAAGUUGAGGUCCCGAAUGCUUGAAAUUUCGUUUUGCUGGUCAGAGCAGAUUGAGCCUUCCUCGCAUCCUUGCAACUUCAAGUCCGUGAAGGAUGCGACGAAGGGGCCAUAUGCAUAGU
Molecule: RNA transcript, 1720 nt
Organism: Selaginella moellendorffii
Lineage: Eukaryota; Viridiplantae; Streptophyta; Lycopodiopsida; Selaginellales; Selaginellaceae
Gene name: probable 2,3-bisphosphoglycerate-independent phosphoglycerate mutase
Exons: 8
Source: RefSeq, a predicted model, not a curated record